Molecule: ribosomal RNA, 651 nt
Filed under: Triticum aestivum (bread wheat)
Lineage: Eukaryota; Viridiplantae; Streptophyta; Magnoliopsida; Poales; Poaceae
Description: partial small subunit ribosomal RNA
Source: RNAcentral
AUGUGUUUAAGCUCCCCGUCCAGGCGUAGAGAAACAAGAGGAGGAGCCUCUAUAAUCAACGAAAAAAAUCUCAUCGUCAUGCACCAUGUAGUACACAUCGACAACAGCCAAAUUCUUGAGCGAGGAGGAGACUAUCUUAGCAUUUCUGGUGAGCAAAAAGUUGCAGUUUCUCAGUUGCAAGUCCUCCAGAGCAUGGCAGCGGAAGCUGAUGAGGCUCCCAAGAUCUGUCAGCUUCAGAUUAAGCACGCUGAAGAGAUGCAACCUUUUGAGCCAGCAAGGCCAUGCCUCGCCUUGACCUAUGGCGUGGCUGACCCAAUGGUUAGAAGUCCUGGAGGCGUGCAGCCGGAAGUCCUCCAGGAGCGCGAUGUCAUGGUUGCGCAGAAGGUUGCUGCUGAAGCCGCCACCUGCAUGGGGCGGAUGCUCCGUCUUGGCGGAGGCAUCCGUGCAGCGGCCUCCAACCAUUUUCUUUGGUUUGGGAUUACUGCAGUACGAGGGAGGAGACAGAGAGACGGUGGGCGCUUGUGUUCAUAUGCAACGAUGGUGGUAGGGAGAAGAAGGCUGCAAACUCGGAGGAGGCACAAAAAUGUCUGCUGGUUGUCCCUACGCCGCAGCCAUGGCGAAAUUAGGGAUCUUGGUUGGAGUGGGGACUGA